GGGGGAAAAUGUCUGACUGGAAGGAAGAACCCAAGAAACUAAAUCAGCAAUGAUGCAGAAAAGAGGAAUAUAAUGUAGAUGGAUUACUGGCCUUGGUGCAGGAAGUUCAUCAGGAGCAUCUCCUGGAACAGCGCACAAAGAGCCUUAAGGACUAUCAGAAAACGGGCUCAGAAAGUCUUGUUGAUCUACAGGACUCACACCAGUUAUAAACCCGUGGCCUUUCUACCUACACCACAGUAG
This 240-nucleotide long non-coding RNA is filed under the name Fukomys damarensis (Damara mole-rat). Its description in RNAcentral is "lncRNA (ENSFDAG00000022116.1)". The record is from RNAcentral. Lineage: Eukaryota; Metazoa; Chordata; Mammalia; Rodentia; Bathyergidae.